ACGCUGGCGGCAUGCUUUACACAUGCAAGUCGAACGGCAGCGCGGGGCAACCUGGCGGCGAGUGGCGAACGGGUGAGUAAUAUAUCGGAACGUACCCAAGAGUGGGGGAUAACGUAGCGAAAGUUACGCUAAUACCGCAUACGAUCUAAGGAUGAAAGCAGGGGAUCUUCGGACCUUGUGCUCCUGGAGCGGCCGAUAUCUGAUUAGCUAGUUGGUGAGGUAAAGGCUCACCAAGGCUACGAUCAGUAGCUGGUCUGAGAGGACGACCAGCCACACUGGAACUGAGACACGGUCCAGACUCCUACGGGAGGCAGCAGUGGGGAAUUUUGGACAAUGGGCGAAAGCCUGAUCCAGCAAUGCCGCGUGAGUGAAGAAGGCCUUCGGGUUGUAAAGCUCUUUUGUCAGGGAAGAAACGGUUUGGGCUAAUACCCUGAGCUAAUGACGGUACCUGAAGAAUAAGCACCGGCUAACUACGUGCCAGCAGCCGCGGUAAUACGUAGGGUGCAAGCGUUAAUCGGAAUUACUGGGCGUAAAGCGUGCGCAGGCGGUUUUGUAAGUCUGACGUGAAAUCCCCGGGCUCAACCUGGGAAUUGCGUUGGAGACUGCAAGGCUAGAAUCUGGCAGAGGGGGGUAGAAUUCCACGUGUAGCAGUGAAAUGCGUAGAGAUGUGGAGGAACACCGAUGGCGAAGGCAGCCCCCUGGGUCAAGAUUGACGCUCAUGCACGAAAGCGUGGGGAGCAAAC
Molecule: ribosomal RNA, 743 nt
Filed under: uncultured bacterium
Lineage: Bacteria
Description: bacterial SSU rRNA
Rfam family: Bacterial small subunit ribosomal RNA
Source: RNAcentral